Molecule: ribosomal RNA, 810 nt
Filed under: uncultured prokaryote
Description: bacterial SSU rRNA
Rfam family: Archaeal small subunit ribosomal RNA
Source: RNAcentral
CUGGUUGAAUUCUGCGAGCACGGCCAGACUUGGGACCGGGAGAGGUGUGGGGUACGCUCAGGGUAGGGGUAAAAUCCUGUCAUCCUGAGCGGACCACCUGUUGCGAAGGCGCCACACUAGGACGGAUCCGACGGUCAGGGACGAAGCCUAGGGGCACGAACCGGAUUAGAUACCCGGGUAGUCCUAGGUGUAAACGCUGUGGACUUGGUGUUGGGGAUUCUCCGAGGAUUCUCAGUGCCGAAGCGAAGGUGAUAAGUCCACUGCCUGGGGAGUACGGUCGCAAGGCUGAAACUUAAAGGAAUUGGCGGGGGAGCACCGCAACCUGAGGAUUGUGCGGUUUAAUUGGAUUCAACGCCGGAAAACUCACCAGUGCCGACGGACAGAUGAAAGCCAGUGUGAUGAGCUUGCUGGAUUGUUCGAGAGGUAGUGCAUGGCCGCCGUCAGUUCGUACCGUAAGGCGUUCUGUUAAGUCAGAUAACGAACGAGACCCUCAUCCCUAUUUGCUAAGGUCUGUCCGCAGAUCACAGGACUAUAGGGAGACCGCUGGCGAGAAGUCAGAGGAAGGUGAGGGCAACGGUAGGUCAGUAUGCUCCGAAUGCACUGGGCUACACGCGCAAUACAAAGGACGGGACAAUGGGCCGCUGCUCCGAGAGGAAAGAUGGCUAUCCCGAAACCCGUUCGUAGUUCGGAUUGAGGGCUGUAACUCGCCCUCAUGAAGCUGGAUUAGGUAGUAAUCGCGUCUCAAAAAGGCGCGGUGAAUAUGCCCCUGCUCCUUGCACACACCGCCCGUCAAACCAUCUUAGUUGGGGG